GCAGCAGCCGCGGGAAUACGUAGGUGGCAAGCGUUAUCCGGAAUUAUUUGGCGUAAAGCGCGCGUAGGCGGUUUUUUAAGUCUGAUGUGAGAGCCCACGGCUCAACCGUGGAGGGUCAUUGGAAACUGGAAAACUUGAGUGCAGAAGAGGAAAGUGGAAUUCCAUGUGUAGCGGUGAAAUGCGCAGAGAUAUGGAGGAACACCAGUGGCGAAGGCGACUUUCUGGUCUGUAACUGACGCUGAUGUGCGAAAGCGUGGGGAUCAAACAGGAUUAGAUAUCCGCGUAGUCCCUGUCUCUUAUAA
This 302-nucleotide ribosomal RNA is filed under the name uncultured bacterium. RNAcentral's name for it is "partial 16S ribosomal RNA". It matches the Rfam family "Bacterial small subunit ribosomal RNA", at positions 508 to 809 of the family's 1533-position model. The record is from RNAcentral.